Molecule: ribosomal RNA, 253 nt
Filed under: uncultured bacterium
Lineage: Bacteria
Description: partial 16S ribosomal RNA
Rfam family: Bacterial small subunit ribosomal RNA
Source: RNAcentral
UACGUAGGUGGCAAGCGUUGUCCGGAUUUACUGGGCGUAAAGGGAGCGUAGGCGGACUUUUAAGUGAGAUGUGAAAUACUCGGGCUCAACUUGAGUGCUGCAUUUCAAACUGGAAGUCUAGAGUGCAGGAGAGGAGAAUGGAAUUCCUAGUGUAGCGGUGAAAUGCGUAGAAAUUAGGAAGAACACCAGUGGCGAAGGCGAUUCUCUGGACUGUAACUGACGCUGAGGCUCGAAAGCGUGGGGAGCAAACAGG